AAGUAUAGGAGACAGGCAAAAUGAGAGGGUCCAUCUUUCAGCUAACUUUCUCAAGAGCAAUCUUGCACUGGAAAAACUAAAUACUUCUACUUGAGUGGGCUUAAGUAUUCGAACAAGCACAAAUUGAAGACUUCAGAAUUGUCUGACGGAUACAUCUGCAUUCACUUGAACAGAGUGGAUUUCAUUGUAGGACAGAUUCAGGAAUCACGCCCAAGACAAGAAAUGCACUACACAGUGGCGUGGCAUCAAAGAUCAGAUCGGCUGAAAUCUUCUGCGGAAUGAAGUCUUCUCUCACGUUUGGAUCAUGUAUAUGUUUAGUGACCCCGCAGCUGCUGUAAGGGCCCAACUGAACUUAGGACAGACAUUCAAAGUUCACCAGGCUAACUUCUUGCAGGCAGCUGUUUCACAGAAUCACAGAAUGGUUGAGGUUGGAAGGGACCUCUGGAGAUCAUCUAGUCCAACCCCCCUGCUCAAGCAGGGUCACCUGGAGGACAUUGACAGGAUCGCGUCCAGGCGAGUUUUGAAUAUCUCCAGAGAAGGAGACUCCACAACCUCUCUGGGCAACCUGUUCCAGUGCUCUGUCACCCUCACAGUGAAGAAGUUUUUCCUCAUGUUCACAUGGAAUUGUCUGUGUUUCAGUUUGUGCCCGUUGCCUCUUGUCCUUGUAAUGGCACUUUUGACAUAAACAAUAGAGCUUCCUUGCAAAGUGGGGGAACUGAGAAGUAGUGGUUUGAUAGGAAAUGAAGAGUAGGGCUGGAAUAAAUGUUUGCCAGAGGACA
This 779-nucleotide long non-coding RNA is filed under the name Apteryx owenii (little spotted kiwi). Its description in RNAcentral is "lncRNA (ENSAOWG00000013555.1)". The record is from RNAcentral. Lineage: Eukaryota; Metazoa; Chordata; Aves; Apterygiformes; Apterygidae.